GACGCAGCAACGCCGCGUGGGUGAUGAAGGCCUUCGGGUCGUAAAGCCCUGUCAGGUGGGAAGAAACAUAUCGGUGGUUAAUAUCACCGAUUUUUGACGGUACCCCCGGAGGAAGCACCCGGCUAACUCCGUGCCAGCAGCCGCGGUAAUACGGAGGGUGCAAGCGUUGUUCGGAAUUACUGGGCGUAAAGCGCGUGUAGGCGGUCGGGCAAGUCAGAUGUGAAAUCCUUCCGCUUAACGGAAGAAGUGCAUUUGAAACUGCCCGGCUUGAGUACGGGAGAGGAGAGUGGAAUUCCCGGUGUAGAGGUGAAAUUCGUAGAUAUCGGGAGGAACACCAGU
RNAcentral lists this ribosomal RNA (339 nucleotides) under uncultured delta proteobacterium. RNAcentral describes it as "bacterial SSU rRNA". It matches the Rfam family "Bacterial small subunit ribosomal RNA", at positions 385 to 713 of the family's 1533-position model. The record is from RNAcentral. Lineage: Bacteria; Deltaproteobacteria.